CUUACAGUCUAGUUCCUAGGUAUUCAGUCUGUCAUUAGCCAUUUAUCUCAACUAACUGAUUUCAUUUUGCUCAUGAAAAAUUGAUUAACCUGCCUGUGUCAUAAUCUAAAUUUGCUUUAACAGUUUAAAAGUAUCUUGUUAUCAUUGUCAUCAGAAAGCACUUGUGCCAAACUAUACAGAGAGGUGUGCUUCAUGCUGGAUCUGAAGAGAAAAGGAUAAAAUCACUGAUGAUGAAAAGUCCUGGAGGUGGCAAGAGAUGGACUCAAUGGAUGAAGCAGAGUGUUACCUAUUCCUCAGAGAAAUGAGUGAAAAAAAAUGAAGAAAGAAGUUGAAUGAAGAUACAGAAGCUGACAUGGAAAGAACAAGGUCCUGAAAAGAUAGAAUCGAUUCAGCCAAACUCAGCAAAUCCUUUGCCAAUUAGGGUGUUAUGGGGAAUUAUUUGCAGAGGAAGGAGUCUGAAAUAAUUGAAAUCCAGUGGCAAGACAACAAUCAAAAUAAAUUGUGAUAGCUUGGGACA
RNAcentral lists this long non-coding RNA (517 nucleotides) under Monodelphis domestica (gray short-tailed opossum). Its description in RNAcentral is "lncRNA (ENSMODG00000031023.2)". Lineage: Eukaryota; Metazoa; Chordata; Mammalia; Didelphimorphia; Didelphidae. The record is from RNAcentral.